This is a non-coding RNA of Phrynosoma platyrhinos (Desert horned lizard), 72 nucleotides long. NCBI's taxonomy places the organism in Eukaryota, Metazoa, Chordata, Lepidosauria, Squamata, Phrynosomatidae. The record is from the annotation of a GenBank genome assembly.
GCCAGAAUGGUGCAGUGGUUUGAGUGCUGGACUAUUACUCUGGAGACCAGGAUUCGAGUCCCCACUCGGCCA